RNAcentral lists this ribosomal RNA (502 nucleotides) under uncultured bacterium. RNAcentral's name for it is "bacterial SSU rRNA". It matches the Rfam family "Bacterial small subunit ribosomal RNA", at positions 28 to 534 of the family's 1533-position model. The record is from RNAcentral.
GACGAACGCUGGCGGCGUGCUUAACACAUGCAAGUCGAACGGAGUUUAAGAGGAAGCUUGCGAAUCUUAAACUUAGUGGCGGACGGGUGAGUAACGCGUGGAUAACCUACCUUAAGGACUGGGAUAACACCGGGAAACUGGUGCUAAUACCGGAUAAGCUCAAUGGGGCACAUGCCUUGAUGAGGAAAGGAGCAAUCCGCUUUAAGAUGGAUCCGCGUCCCAUUAGCUAGUUGGCGGUGUAACGGACCACCAAGGCAACGAUGGGUAGCCGGCCUGAGAGGGUGGACGGCCACACUGGAACUGAGACACGGUCCAGACUCCUACGGGAGGCAGCAGUGGGGAAUCUUCCGCAAUGGGCGAAAGCCUGACGGAGCAACGCCGCGUGAAUGAUGAAGGCCUCGGGUUGUAAAGUUACUGUCUUCAGGAAGAAAAAAUAGACGGUACCUGAGGAGGAAGCCCGGCGUAACUAACGUGCCAGCAGCCGCGGUAAACGUAAGCGUGG